RNAcentral lists this ribosomal RNA (500 nucleotides) under uncultured bacterium. RNAcentral's name for it is "partial 16S ribosomal RNA". It matches the Rfam family "Bacterial small subunit ribosomal RNA", at positions 30 to 523 of the family's 1533-position model. The record is from RNAcentral.
AUUGAACGCUGGCGGCAUGCCUUACACAUGCAAGUCGAACGGUAACGGGUCCUUCGGGAUGCCGACGAGUGGCGAACGGGUGAGUAAUAUAUCGGAACGUGCCCAGUAGUGGGGGAUAACUGCUCGCAAGAGCAGCUAAUACCGCAUACGACCUGAGGGUGAAAGGGGGGGAUCGCAAGACCUCUCGCUAUUGGAGCGGCCGAUAUCAGAUUAGCUAGUUGGUGGGGUAAAGGCAUACCAAGGCAACGAUCUGUAGUUGGUCUGAGAGGACGACCAGCCACACUGGGACUGAGACACGGCCCAGACUCCUACGGGAGGCAGCAGUGGGGAAUUUUGGACAAUGGGCGCAAGCCUGAUCCAGCAAUGCCGCGUGCAGGAAGAAGGCCUUCGGGUUGUAAACUGCUUUUGUCAGGGAAGAAAUCUUCUGGGCUAAUACCCCGGGAGGAUGACGGUACCUGAAGAAUAAGCACCGGCUAACUACGUGCCAGCCGCCGCGGUAA